GAGGGUAUAGCUCAGUGGUAGAGUGUACACCUAGCAUGUGUGAGGUCUGGGGUUCAAUCCCCAGUACCUCCA
This 72-nucleotide transfer RNA is filed under the name Camelus bactrianus (Bactrian camel). It matches the Rfam family "tRNA". Rfam says of the family: Transfer RNA (tRNA) molecules are approximately 80 nucleotides in length. Their secondary structure includes four short double-helical elements and three loops (D, anti-codon, and T loops). The record is from Rfam by way of RNAcentral. Lineage: Eukaryota; Metazoa; Chordata; Mammalia; Artiodactyla; Camelidae. RNAcentral also lists the same sequence under 2 other names.